This is a long non-coding RNA of Branchiostoma belcheri (Belcher's lancelet), 208 nucleotides long. RefSeq lists it as uncharacterized. The record is from RefSeq and is a predicted model, not a curated record. The transcript has 2 exons. Lineage: Eukaryota; Metazoa; Chordata; Leptocardii; Amphioxiformes; Branchiostomatidae.
UGGAAUAACGCCAAUUCUGCUUUCACUUUCACAUCCUUGAAGUCUCAAGAACCCCCACACGCUUUUUUAAGUCUCACACGAGCUCUUCUGUUCAAGAACUCCAACAGACGCGACCUGUAUAGUAGAUCAGGCUAGAGAUGGCGGACUCAGAAAAGUUACUGCCUGAGGGGAAAGACUGGCGGCUGCAGAAUGUCCUGUGGAAUGACGA